GAUCAUGGCUCAGGAUGAACGCUAGCGGCAGGCUUAACACAUGCAAGUCGAGGGGCAGCAUAAUGGAUAGCAAUAUCUAUGGUGGCGACCGGCGCACGGGUGCGUAACGCGUAUGCAACCUACCUUUAACAGGGGGAGUAACACUGAGAAAUUGGUACUAAUACCCCACUAACAUCAUGAAAGGACAUCUUUUAUUGGUUGGUAAAAAUUAACCGUACUGGUUUAGGUAGAUGGGCGAUGCGUUGUUA
Molecule: ribosomal RNA, 248 nt
Filed under: uncultured bacterium
Lineage: Bacteria
Description: partial 16S ribosomal RNA
Rfam family: Bacterial small subunit ribosomal RNA
Source: RNAcentral